This is a long non-coding RNA of Ipomoea nil (Japanese morning glory), 100 nucleotides long. RefSeq lists it as uncharacterized. The transcript is spliced from 4 exons. The record is from RefSeq and is a predicted model, not a curated record. NCBI's taxonomy places the organism in Eukaryota, Viridiplantae, Streptophyta, Magnoliopsida, Solanales, Convolvulaceae.
AGCUCUUAGCCUUAUCUUUUUGACAAUGUGUCUGGACAUUGGACUAUUUUUCUAAUAAAGGUUUGGAAUACCUCAUAUGAGGAUUAAUCUUUGGGUGACU